RNAcentral lists this ribosomal RNA (253 nucleotides) under uncultured bacterium. RNAcentral describes it as "partial 16S ribosomal RNA". It matches the Rfam family "Bacterial small subunit ribosomal RNA", at positions 524 to 776 of the family's 1533-position model. The record is from RNAcentral.
UACGAAGGGGGCUAGCGUUGCUCGGAAUUACUGGGCGUAAAGCGCACGUAGGCGGAUUGUUAAGUCGGGGGUGAAAUCCUGGAGCUCAACUCCAGAACUGCCUUCGAUACUGAGGACCUCGAGUCCGGGAGAGGUGAGUGGAACUCCGAGUGUAGAGGUGAAAUUCGUAGAUAUUCGGAAGAACACCAGUGGCGAAGGCGGCUCACUGGCCCGGUACUGACGCUGAGGUGCGAAAGCGUGGGGAGCAAACAGG